UAUUAAAAAUUCAUUUUUAUUACAACAAUUCUUUUUAUCUUCUCCAUUCUGGGCACAAUAAUGGAGGUAGAUUUGGUAGAAAUUGCAACCAGUUACUUUACAAUCAUUUAAAAUGAUUUAUCAUCACAUUAGCCAGAUUAAAAGUUACUGCACAGGUAUCAUAUGAGGCAAAAUUACUGAAAUUUAUAUCAAGUGUACUAAAAAUAUGCACAAAAACCUCUUAAGUAAUUUUUAUCUUUGAUUGUUUUGUAUACUUUCUCACAUGAUUUAAUGAAAAUUAGUUAAUUUUCACUGUAUACAACCAGUGACAAGUAGCAUAUGGUCAAUUACCAUUAUACACAGUUUUUCAGGUUUGUGACCAUUUGAUUACGAGAAUGCAUUGAAUCGAAAUAAUAAUUGAUAAUAUCAAAUGAUUGUAAGCUGAUUAGUAACAGAUGUUGACAAGGGUGAAUUAUUCACUGUGUUAAAGAGGUUGUAAGUCCUUUUGCUACUAAAAGCCUAUGUUUGGCUCAGGUAAUGCAUACAAAACAUUAAGCAUUCAGAUUUAGUAGAAUUCUCUGGUAUAGCCAAUUCAGGGCUGUAAUAUUUACUAAAAAAAUUAAAUAAAUCAAGGUGCUAAUAUAACACCAGGGCACCAUCUGUUCUGCAGCACAGUGAGAUAUUACAGUGAGUUCAUAACAUUGUUUCAAAUGUGUGUGUGAAUUUCAGUGAGGUUGAAGAGUGGCUAACAUUUCAUCCACUAAGCAUACUCCAACCAUGAACAGUGUCAUCACUACAUAGGAUGUAUCACCACCCCUUACAUACAUUAGAACAAAGUAUGAAGGCUGUUAUUUCUAUUACUUUGAGCUGUCUGAAUAUCAUUCGCGAUAGUAUGGAGGUACAAAUACAGUGACUUCUGCCUACACUCUUAGUCUUGGGAAUGCUUUUCUCCCCAUUUUGUGGGGAAAUGCUAAGUGAUAAUACUGCAAACUGCACUGAGAGCAUAUCAUUUCCUCCUACAUACAUCUGGCAAAGCAACAAUGAGAAAAUGACAAAUUAGAGUUCAUAAGAAGUCAUACUGUCAGCUGUUUUAACAAAUUAUUUGUAAAUGUAACAGGAAAGUGACAGUGGCACCACUAAUAGCAUCUGCAUGGUUUGCAGACUACAGAUAUAGAAGACCCUUGCUACAAUACCUUUGAUGAUCUGAUUACUUAGAGAUAAGUGUCGAAAAAACAUUCCAAUGGGUAACAAUAAAUUGUAGUUAAUUUUCCAUUUCUCAUUAGAUAUUGGAAUAACAGCUUAAACGUCUGAAUUUUGCCAAAGUAACAUAUCACAUUCUAUGUGCAGAAAUCUGAGCACAUCAUUUGAAACUGCACACUGUAACUAUAAAAAUCAAUACUUCAGUUCAUUUGUUUACAUGCACUUAAAGGAAGGAACUCCUCAAAUUUUCUUAUAAGAGAUCAUUUCCAAUACCUUCUGAUAUAAUGUUAAAUAUAGCAACACAAUAAAAUAGUGUGAACACACAUUUUAACAUAUUGACUGCCACAGCACAGCCUUACACCAGAUGCUGGGGUGCUCUCUGGCAGUCUCAGCAGGAUCUGACAUUGUGGCUUACCCUGGUGGUGAAACACCCAUCCCUAUUUGUGUGGCAGACAACAUUGUAAGUACCCAUAUUACACAUUAAAAAUAUGUUUUGUGGGUUGGGUAUUUACCAGCAUAUUAACUAUUUAAUUCAGUGUACAGCUCAUCAACUUACAUAAGUAAUGCUGUUUGAAGCUGUACAGUAAACACUGAGAGACAGUUGGGAAACUAAGCUGCCAGAGUAAUUGUAACUAAUCAUCACAGCUUAUAGUUAGUGCCACUUGAGCAAAUAAUAGAAAAAGAAAAAUUGAAGAAAAAUAAUAGAAAUAGAAAACGAGUCAGUCAUACUCAAAGGCAAGAGAAGUUUUCCGGUAUUCUAAGGUGACACUUGAGACAACACAACAGCAGAAGGGCAAAAAAUAUUAAAAGCCAAACACUGGAUGUGAUUGUAACAGACUUAUUUAUUUAUUGCCAGUUUCUUAUUGCCGUCAUCUCAUAGUUCACCAUUACAUUUAGACAAAUAGCAAAUCUCCCUCUGUUCUUCGCAACAGGUACCCAUUUGAACACGAAUAUACUAUAAGUUUUAAUUAACGAGAUAUAAAAACGUGAGGACACUAAAAUUAGUCAAUGAUACUACAACUGAUAAAAAGUGAGAGAGAGAAAUGCAAAGCAAAGGUAAACACUCAUUUACUGCUGAAGACUGGAAACGAAUUUGCAAAAAAUCGAAUCAAUAGAAUUAUAACAACAGCGCUUUUUCGUUGCUUCUACUGCUCUAGAUUCAAAUACUUCACUACCAGAAACAUUAAUAGAAUGUUUUCUGUUAUACAGGAAGGAAAUUGAAGUAUUUCGUAGAGAAGCAGCUUUCUACUACCGAGCGCUUGUACAUUGUUAUCGGAUCUUCAUAACUACUAACUCAAUAGCAGUGAACAUGCGCUUACAGAACUGUGUUUAUCCGUAAUGGUUCCAAAUCCAGUAGCAGAGGAAAUUCCGUUGUACUGGCACUGCAAGCGUUGUGAACAGUAUAUUUAUUUGGAGAACGCGGCUAGUAUAUAUGGGUUUGAAACACCCUGCUUAACUUUCAUGAAACAUCAGAUCAGAUGCCCUGUCAAA
Long non-coding RNA from Schistocerca gregaria, 2670 nucleotides. RefSeq lists it as uncharacterized. The transcript is spliced from 2 exons. NCBI's taxonomy places the organism in Eukaryota, Metazoa, Arthropoda, Insecta, Orthoptera, Acrididae. The record is from RefSeq and is a predicted model, not a curated record.